AAUAAUUUAUUAUUUUAUAUAUAUAUAUUAUAUAUAUAUAAAAUAAUAAAUAUUU
RNAcentral lists this transfer RNA (55 nucleotides) under Babesia microti strain RI. RNAcentral describes it as "tRNA_iMet_UAU". Lineage: Eukaryota; Apicomplexa; Aconoidasida; Piroplasmida; Babesiidae. The record is from RNAcentral.